This is a non-coding RNA of Cavia porcellus (domestic guinea pig), 467 nucleotides long. The record is from the annotation of a RefSeq genome assembly. Lineage: Eukaryota; Metazoa; Chordata; Mammalia; Rodentia; Caviidae.
CAAAUUCCCCUCUUGGGCUGUUGAAGCUGACAGCUCCUUCCUGAGACACCUGUAAGAUCUCAGCAGUAGGAUAAGUUGUGGCCUAGAAUAUGAAAUUUCUGGGUCUUCUCCUGUGCCUGGUGACAGGUCCUCAUGGUAUCCUGUCCCAGGUGCAGCUGCAGGAGUCCGGUACUGGCCUGGUGAAGCUUUCGCAGACCCUGUCCCUCACCUGCAUAGUCUCUGGAUUCUCUAUCACAACUAGUAGUUAUGAGUGGCACUGGAUCCGUCAGCCUCCAGGAAAGAGCCUCGAGUGGAUGGGAGCCAUAGGUAGCAGUGGUGGCACUGGGUACAACCCGUCCCUCAAGAGCCGCAUCUCCAUCUCCAGAGACACAGGCAAGAACCAGUUCUCUCUGCAGCUGAACUCUGUCACCGCAGAGGACACAGCCACUUAUUAUUGUGCAAGACACAGUUGUUUGAUGCAAGUGUGA